AGGACGAACGCUGGCGGCGUGCCUAACACAUGCAAGUGGAGCGACGAACCAGGCUUCGGCCUGGGGCAAAGCCGCGAACGGGUGAGUAACACGUGGGUAACCUGCCCCGAUGAUUGGGACAACCCGAGGAAACUCGGGCUAAUACCGAAUGUGCCCUCCGACCAUAAGGUCGCUGGGGAAAGGAAGCUUCGGCCUCCGCAUCGGGAUGGGUUUGCGGCCCAUUAGCUUGUUGGUGAGGUAACGGCUCACCAAGGCUGCGAUGGGUAGCUGGUCUGAGAGGACGAUCAGCCACACUGGGACUGAGACACGGCCCAGACUCCUACGGGAGGCAGCAGUGGGGAAUAUUGGACAAUGGGCGAAAGCCUGAUCCAGCCAUGCCGCGUGUGUGAUGAAGGCCUUCGGGUUGUAAGCACUUCGCACGUGACGAUGAUGACGGUAACGUGAGAAGAAGCCCGGCUACUCGUGCAGCAGCGC
This 474-nucleotide ribosomal RNA is filed under the name uncultured bacterium. RNAcentral's name for it is "SSU rRNA". It matches the Rfam family "Bacterial small subunit ribosomal RNA", at positions 26 to 518 of the family's 1533-position model. The record is from RNAcentral.